Molecule: non-coding RNA, 281 nt
Filed under: Desulfofundulus kuznetsovii
Lineage: Bacteria; Bacillati; Bacillota; Clostridia; Eubacteriales; Peptococcaceae
Source: RNAcentral
CUAAAUAGUGCGAAACGGGGUGUCCUGCUUCCCUGGUGGGGGCAGGCUGAAAAGGGAAGCCGGUGCAAAUCCGGCGCGGUCCCGCCACUGUGAGGGGGAAGGGCCCCACAUUAUGUCACUGUCCAGCACUCAGUAAGAUUGUUUUCAGCUUUGAUAGAAAUUGGUUACUGCUAAGAUAAGGUUACGGUUGAGGGAACCAUAGCAUGGCUGAGUGCUGGAUGGGAAGACGUGGAGUUCCGAUGAACCCGAGCCAGGAGACCUGCCCCGUUUUAUCUACCAUG